UAGGGAAUCUUCCGCAAUGGGCGAAAGCCUGACGGAGCAACGCCGCGUGAGUGAUGAAGGUCUUCGGAUCGUAAAACUCUGUUAUUAGGGAAGAACAAAUGUGUAAGUAACUAUGCACGUCUUGACGGUACCUAAUCAGAAAGCCACGGCUAACUACGUGCCAGCAGCCGCGGUAAUACGUAGGUGGCAAGCGUUAUCCGGAAUUAUUGGGCGUAAAGCGCGCGUAGGCGGUUUUUUAGGUCUGAUGUGAAAGCCCACGGCUCAACCGUGGAGGGUCAUUGGAAACUGGAAAACUUGAGUGCAGAAGAGGAAAGUGGAAUUCCAUGGGUAGCGGUGAAAUGCGCAGAGAUAUGGAGGAACACCAGUGGCGAAGGCGACUUUCUGGUCUGUAACUGCCGCUGGUGUGCGAAAGCGGGGGGAUCAAACAGG
Molecule: ribosomal RNA, 429 nt
Filed under: Actinomycetes bacterium
Lineage: Bacteria; Bacillati; Actinomycetota; Actinomycetes
Description: Actinobacteria bacterium partial 16S ribosomal RNA
Rfam family: Bacterial small subunit ribosomal RNA
Source: RNAcentral